This 106-nucleotide ribosomal RNA is filed under the name Halomonas sp. SpR8. RNAcentral's name for it is "partial 16S ribosomal RNA". It matches the Rfam family "Bacterial small subunit ribosomal RNA", at positions 1 to 101 of the family's 1533-position model. Lineage: Bacteria; Pseudomonadati; Pseudomonadota; Gammaproteobacteria; Oceanospirillales; Halomonadaceae. The record is from RNAcentral.
AAACUGAAGAGUUUGAUCAUGGCUCAGAUUGAACGCUGGCGGCAGGCCUAACACAUGCAAGUCGAGCGGUAGCAGGGGGUGCUUGCACCCCGCUGACGAGCGGCGG